UCCGUUGUGGUGUAACGGUAACAUACGCGCCUCUCACGUGGAGUGCAAACGCGCGUGCCCGGGGUUCGAUUCCCCGCAGCGGAA
Non-coding RNA from Mycena metata, 84 nucleotides. NCBI's taxonomy places the organism in Eukaryota, Fungi, Basidiomycota, Agaricomycetes, Agaricales, Mycenaceae. The record is from the annotation of a GenBank genome assembly.